Molecule: microRNA precursor, 75 nt
Filed under: Camelus dromedarius (Arabian camel)
Lineage: Eukaryota; Metazoa; Chordata; Mammalia; Artiodactyla; Camelidae
Also listed under: 2 other names
Description: mir-653 microRNA precursor family
Rfam family: mir-653 microRNA precursor family
Source: Rfam by way of RNAcentral
UCCCUCAGUGUUGAAACAAUCUCUGCUGAACCAGAUUCUAAAAGUUCACUGGAGUUUGUUUCAACAUUGCAAGAA